Molecule: long non-coding RNA, 136 nt
Organism: Etheostoma spectabile (orangethroat darter)
Lineage: Eukaryota; Metazoa; Chordata; Actinopteri; Perciformes; Percidae
Exons: 3
Source: RefSeq, a predicted model, not a curated record
CAGGCGCAAGAGUCAUUUAUCCCGCCGGAAUAAUAGCAGCAGCGCCCUACAUCCGCCCACAAAGCUACUUGUGUUUCGCGUUUUAUACUUGCGUUUCAGAUUGUUAAAAUCGGGCCCUUAUUGUGUUUAAACGCGU